This 289-nucleotide ribosomal RNA is filed under the name uncultured bacterium. RNAcentral's name for it is "partial 16S ribosomal RNA". It matches the Rfam family "Bacterial small subunit ribosomal RNA", at positions 29 to 289 of the family's 1533-position model. The record is from RNAcentral.
ACGAACGCUGGCGGCGUGCUUAAGACAUGCAAGUCGAGCGGGGGGACCCGGAGCAGCUUGCUGUGAGGGUUCCCUAGCGGCGGACGGGUGAGUAACGCGUGGGCAACCUACCCGCGAAUCGGGGACAACAGUGGGAAACCGCUGCUAAUACCGGAUGAGCUUUUCCGACCGCAUGGUCGGGGAAGGAAAGACAGCCUCUGCAUAGCAAGCUGUCGUUCGCGGAUGGGCCCGCGUCCCCAUUAGCUAGUUGGUGGAGGUAACGGCCCACCAAGGCGACGAUGGGUAGCCG